GGUCAAAGAACACGUUCCCAGAGUAACAAAUCGAAUAUUUAUGUGCUGUGCAUGGAAUGGUGGCGUCUGCUGGUUGAGCAUCUUCGUGUUCCACUACAUGCUUCUACCCUGUAUCUACUGGUUCACAGAGCUCAUCUCAGGUCAGUGAGGGGU
Molecule: long non-coding RNA, 153 nt
Organism: Haliotis rubra (blacklip abalone)
Lineage: Eukaryota; Metazoa; Mollusca; Gastropoda; Lepetellida; Haliotidae
Exons: 3
Source: RefSeq, a predicted model, not a curated record